This is a non-coding RNA of Brachypodium distachyon (stiff brome), 115 nucleotides long. Lineage: Eukaryota; Viridiplantae; Streptophyta; Magnoliopsida; Poales; Poaceae. The record is from Rfam.
UCAGGUUACCCUUGAUCCUUCUUAGUUUAACCAAAUGAACUAAAAUUUUAAAAUGAUACGAUUUUUUGAAAAAUUAGUUCAUUUGUUUGAACUAAGAGGAUCAAAGGGUACCUGA